This 508-nucleotide ribosomal RNA is filed under the name uncultured bacterium. Its description in RNAcentral is "partial 16S ribosomal RNA". It matches the Rfam family "Bacterial small subunit ribosomal RNA", at positions 30 to 523 of the family's 1533-position model. The record is from RNAcentral.
AUUGAACGCUGGCGGCAUGCCUAACACAUGCAAGUCGAACGGCAGCACGAUCUAGCUUGCUAGGUUGGUGGCGAGUGGCGCACGGGUGAGUAAUGCGUAGGAAUAUACCUUAAAGUGGGGGACAACCUGGGGAAACUCAGGCUAAUACCGCAUGAGCUCUAAGGAGGAAAGCUGGGGACCUUUCGGGGCCUGGCGCUUUAAGCAUAGCUCACGUCGGAUUAGUUAGUUGGUGGGGUAAAGGCUUACCAAGACGAUGAUCGGUAGCUGGUCUGAGAGGAUGAUCAGCCGCACUGGGACUGAGGCACGGCCCAGACUCCUACGGGAGGCAGGCGUGGGGAAUAUUGGACAAUGGGGGAAUCCCUGAUCCAGCGAUGCCGCGUGUGUGAAGAAGGCCUGCGGGUUGUAAAGCACUUUCGGUGGGGAGGAGGACUUAUAGGUUAAGAGCUAAUGAGUUGGACGUUACCCACAUAAGAAGCACCGGCUAACUCCGUGCCAGCAGCCGCAGUAA